Molecule: non-coding RNA, 30 nt
Filed under: Homo sapiens (human)
Lineage: Eukaryota; Metazoa; Chordata; Mammalia; Primates; Hominidae
Source: RNAcentral
UGAAUCAUGCAUGCAUCAAGCUUCUAGGUC